RNAcentral lists this ribosomal RNA (450 nucleotides) under uncultured bacterium. RNAcentral's name for it is "partial 16S ribosomal RNA". It matches the Rfam family "Bacterial small subunit ribosomal RNA", at positions 354 to 796 of the family's 1533-position model. The record is from RNAcentral.
GUGGGGAAUUUUGGACAAUGGGCGAAAGCCUGAUCCAGCCAUGCCGCGUGCAGGAUGAAGGCCUUCGGGUUGUAAACUGCUUUUGUACGGAACGAAAAGACUCUGGUUAAUACCUGGGGUCCAUGACGGUACCGUAAGAAUAAGCACCGGCUAACUACGUGCCAGCAGCCGCGGUAAUACGUAGGGUGCAAGCGUUAAUCGGAAUUACUGGGCGUAAAGCGUGCGCAGGCGGUUAUAUAAGACAGAUGUGAAAUCCCCGGGCUCAACCUGGGAACUGCAUUUGUGACUGUAUAGCUAGAGUACGGUAGAGGGGGAUGGAAUUCCGCGUGUAGCAGUGAAAUGCGUAGAUAUGCGGAGGAACACCGAUGGCGAAGGCAAUCCCCUGGACCUGUACUGACGCUCAUGCACGAAAGCGUGGGGAGCAAACAGGAUUAGAUACCCGAGUAGUCC